CCCGGCCCCGCCGGGGACCUGAUGUGGGGCGACGCGGGGGGAUCCCUCCCCCUGCCGCCCCGGCAGCACUCGCUGCCCAACGGGGAAACUGAGGCACGGGGUGGGGGGGGACACGUGCGCCCACCAGGCCGACRCGGGGAGGGACCGCAGGGGUCCGGCACGCUGCGACCCCCAGGACGCCGCCGCUGGGGCGCACCGCCCGGGCACCCGGCACCUCGGGACCCCCCCAGCAGGGCCAGGCGCCCGCAAACGCUUCCCUUAUUUAGUAAAUACUUGCAGCUGGAGCCUGAGCAGCUCCGGGAGGGUUUAACCCUUCGGGGGGACGGAUCAGCCGAGCCGGGGCCCCCCCCGCCGCAGCGCUCCGCCCGCCCCGGGGCUGCGAGCCCCUUCCCCGAUGCCCCCCAUCCCUCGGCUGCUGGGGGGGGUGGGGGGUCGCGACACCUGGAUCCCCCCUAGGCGGAAAACGGGGAGACAGGCCGGGGCCGGGGCGGCUCCCGGAGGCCCGUGGAUGUCCCAGGACACCUGGGAUGCUGCCGAGGCAGGGCGGCCACGGGGCGCUCCCAGCCCUGGGAACCGGCCGCCUCGGCCCUUCCCGGCGUGUCCCAGCUGGGCUGGGGCUGCUGGCAGCCGCGGGGCGUUGACGCCGCRUGCCGCGGCCCCGUUACCGGCAGCGCGUCCGGCUGCGCCGCCUGGUCCGGCAGUGCCGGCUCCACCCCGGGGGGAGGCGAUUUUCAGCCUGCGAUUUUCAGCUGCUUCCCCAGGGGAGCAUCUCGCUUCCUCUUCUGGGGCGGGAGCCUGCGAGCGCCGGGGGCUGCGCGACAGGCUCCCGGCUCCGGCCCUGCCAGGGAGUGUGCCGGCAGGGAGCGGGAUGCCGUUCCCGCGGGGUCGCAGCUCCAGAAGGGAGGAUCCCGGGAAGGAGAGGGAUGCUGUUCCCGUGGGGUUGCAGCUCCGGGAGGGAGGAUGCCAGGAAGGAGUGGGAUGCCGUUCCUGUGGGGUUGCAGCUCCAGGAGGGAGGAUGCCGGGAAGGAGCGGGAUGCCAUUCCUGUGGGGUCUUGACUCCGGGAGGGAGGAUGCCAGGAAGGAGCAGGAUGCUGUUCCCGUGGGGUUGCAGCUCCAGGAGGGAGGAUGCUGGGAAGGAGCGGGACACUGUUCCCGUGGGGUCUCGGCUCCGGGAGGGAGGAUGCCAGCAGGGAGUGGGAUGCUGUUCCAGUGGGGUCGCGGCUCCAGGAGGAAGGAUGCCAGGAAGGAGUGGGACACCGUUCCCGUGGGGUCUCGGCUCCGGGAGGGAGGAUGCUGGCAGGGAGUGGGAUGCCAUUCCUGUGGGGUCGCGGCUCCAGGAGGGAGGAUGCCAGGAAGGAGCGGGACACCGUUCCCGUGGGGUCGCAGCUCCAGGAGGGAAGAUGCCGGCAGGGAGCGGGACACCGUUCCCGCGGGGUCGCGGCUCCGGGAGGAGGAGGCGGCGGCAGGCGACGAGCGCGGAGGGCAGGAGCGGGCGGCGCGGGAGCCCGCGGCGGGGCCGGACUCGCCCCCUUCCUCUCGCCGCCGCGGCCCCGCCGGGCGCUUUGUUCCUUUGACUCAUCGCUCUCGGCUUGUUUUUUCCUCCUCCUCGGGCCGCUCCGGCGCCCGCGAGGUGCCGCGACGGGGCCGGGCCGCGACGAGACGGCRGAGCCGACGGGGCGCCCG
Molecule: long non-coding RNA, 1683 nt
Organism: Apteryx rowi (Okarito brown kiwi)
Lineage: Eukaryota; Metazoa; Chordata; Aves; Apterygiformes; Apterygidae
Source: Ensembl